UACGUAGGGUGCGAGCGUUGUCCGGAAUUACUGGGCGUAAAGAGCUCGUAGGCGGUUUGUCGCGUCGUCUGUGAAAACUCGCAGCUCAACUGUGGGCGUGCAGGCGAUACGGGCAGACUUGAGUACUGCAGGGGAGACUGGAAUUCCUGGUGUAGCGGUGAAAUGCGCAGAUAUCAGGAGGAACACCGGUGGCGAAGGCGGGUCUCUGGGCAGUAACUGACGCUGAGGAGCGAAAGCGUGGGUAGCGAACAGG
RNAcentral lists this ribosomal RNA (253 nucleotides) under uncultured bacterium. RNAcentral describes it as "partial 16S ribosomal RNA". It matches the Rfam family "Bacterial small subunit ribosomal RNA", at positions 524 to 776 of the family's 1533-position model. The record is from RNAcentral.